Molecule: non-coding RNA, 135 nt
Organism: Triticum aestivum (bread wheat)
Lineage: Eukaryota; Viridiplantae; Streptophyta; Magnoliopsida; Poales; Poaceae
Source: Rfam
AUGGUACUGCCUCCAUCCCAAAAUUCUUGUCUUAGAUUUGUCUAAAUACGGAUGUAUCAAGUCACGUUUUAGUAUUAGAUACAUCCGUAUCUAGACAAAUCUAAGACAAGAAUUUUGGGACGGAGGGAGUACAUA